RNAcentral lists this ribosomal RNA (618 nucleotides) under uncultured Actinomycetes bacterium. RNAcentral's name for it is "bacterial SSU rRNA". It matches the Rfam family "Bacterial small subunit ribosomal RNA", at positions 557 to 1174 of the family's 1533-position model. The record is from RNAcentral. Lineage: Bacteria; Bacillati; Actinomycetota; Actinomycetes.
GGCGUAAAGAGCGCGUAGGCGGCUAGGCACGUCUGAUGUGAAAAUCCCAAGCUCAACCUGGAACCUGCAUUGGAUACUGCUUUGCUAGAGGAUUGGUAGGGGAGAUGGGAAUUCCUGGUGUAGCGGUGGAAUGCGCAGAUAUCAUGAGGAACACCGGUGGCGAAGGCGCAUCUCUGGGCCGUAACUGACGCUGAGGAGCGAAAGCGUGGGGAGCGAACAGGAUUAGAUACCCUGGUAGUCCACGCCGUAAACGGUGGGUGCUAGGUGUGGGUCUCCUUCCUUGUGAUCCGUGACGAAGUUAACACAUUAAGCACCCCGCCUGGGGAGUACGGUCGCAAGACUAAAACUCAAAGGAAUUGACGGGGGCCCGCACAAGCGGCGGAGCAUGCGGAUUAAUUCGAUGCAACGCGAAGAACCUUACCAAGGCUUGACAUAUAGAGGAAAAGUGCAGAAAUGUACUCCCCGCAAGGUCUCUAUACAGGUGGUGCAUGGUUGUCGUCAGCUCGUGUCGUGAGAUGUUGGGUUAAGUCCCGCAACGAGCGCAACCCUCGUCCUAUGUUGCCAGCACGUAAUGGUGGGAACUCAUGGGAUACUGCCGGGGUCAACUCGGAGGAAGGU